Molecule: ribosomal RNA, 221 nt
Filed under: uncultured bacterium
Lineage: Bacteria
Description: partial 16S ribosomal RNA
Rfam family: Bacterial small subunit ribosomal RNA
Source: RNAcentral
GCCAAUCUCAGUUCGGAUUGUAGGCUGCAACUCGCCUACAUGAAGUUGGAAUCGCUAGUAAUCGCGAAUCAGAAUGUCGCGGUGAAUACGUUCCCGGGUCUUGUACACACCGCCCGUCACACCACGAGAGUUUACAACACCCGAAGUCAGUGGCCUAACCGCAAGGAGGGAGCUGCCUAAGGUGGGGGUAGAUGAUUGGGGUGAAGUCGUAACAAGGUACC